This 349-nucleotide small RNA is filed under the name Pongo abelii (Sumatran orangutan). RNAcentral's name for it is "retained intron". The record is from RNAcentral. Lineage: Eukaryota; Metazoa; Chordata; Mammalia; Primates; Hominidae.
CCACUGUGGUGGAAUGUCUACGGGAAACUGAUGCCUCCCUCAGCCGGAGAGCCCUGGAACUGAGCCUGGCUCUGGUAAAUAGCUCCAACGUGCGAGCCAUGAUGCAAGAGCUGCAGGCCUUUCUGGAGUCCUGCCCUCCUGACCUACGGGCUGACUGUGCCUCAGGCAUCCUGCUGGCUGCAGAGAGGUGAGGUGCCCAGGAGUCAAAGAGGGUAGAAUCUGGGGAGGGUCAGUACCAGGACUGAUGAGCCAUAUAUCCCCUAGGUUUGCUCCAACCAAACGCUGGCACAUAGACACCAUCCUGCAUGUGCUGACAACGGCGGGCACCCACGUGCGGGAUGAUGCAGUG